This 497-nucleotide ribosomal RNA is filed under the name uncultured bacterium. RNAcentral describes it as "partial 16S ribosomal RNA". It matches the Rfam family "Bacterial small subunit ribosomal RNA", at positions 28 to 507 of the family's 1533-position model. The record is from RNAcentral.
GAUGAACGCUGGCGGCGUGCCUAAUACAUGCAAGUCGUGCGAACGGACGAUAAGCUUGCUUCUCUGAUGUUAGCGGCGGACGUGUGAGUAACACGUGGAUAACCUACCUAUAGGACUGGGAUAACUUCGGGAAACCGGAGCUAAUACCGUAUAAUAUCUUGAACCGCAGGGUUCAAAAGUGAAAGACGGUCUUGCUGUCACUUAUGGAUGGAUCCGCGCUGCAUUGGCUGGUUGGUAAGGUAACGGCUUACCAAGGCAACGAUGCAUAGCCGACCUGAGAGGGUGUUCGGCCACACUGGAGCUGAGACACGGUCCAGACUCCUAGGGGCGGCAGCAGUAGGGAAUCUUCCGCGAUGGGCGAAAGCCUGCCGGAGCAGCGCCGCGUGGGUGAUGAAGGUCUUCGGAUCGUAUAACUCUGUUAUUAGUGAAGACCAUAUGUGUAAGUAACUGUGCACAUCUUGACGGUACCUGCACAGAAAGCCACGGCUAACUACGUG